UCAUGGCCAAAGAUGUAUUUGUGCUGCCAAACCUAGCAUCAUGAAGGAGGAUGAGAAGAAUAAGGUGUUUCAAUUCCUCAUGGGCCUUAAUGAGACAUAUAUGGGGGUAAGGAGCAACAUGUUAAUGAUGCAACCUCCUCAUAGUCUUGACAAUAUCUAUAACAUUCUCCUCAAUGAUGAAAAACAGAGACAAGUUCAGUCUGUCUCCCAGUUCAAUCCUGAUUCUAUGUCCUUCACUGUCAAUACUAAACCUUCCUUCAAUCUAGCUCCCUUGCUCAACUCUCCUCCUCCCAAACAGUAUGCCCAGAGAGUUAGUUUUGAUCAGUCUAGAGGACCCCUAUUCUAUAGAUAUUGCAAGAAGUAUGAACACUUAAUUGAUAAGUGCUUCAAGCUUCAUGGUUUUCCUCAAAGUAUCAGGUUUAACAAAGCCAAGAGACCCACUGCUGCUCAUGUCACUACUGGUGUUGACUUCACAUCCUCUCCUUAUUCUGCUGGCCAUGAUUCUCCUGCUUUUGAAAUUGAGGGUCGUUCUCCUGUCCAGCAUGCCUGCUCAUGUCAGUACUGGUGUUGACUUCACAUCCUCUCCUUAUUCUGCUGGCCAUGAUUCUCCUGUUUCUGGAAUUGAGGGUCAUUCUCCUGUCCAGCAUGUGGAUGGACAUAAUUAUGCUAUUCCUGGGUUGAGCAGAUAUCAUUAUGAUCAGUUGAUGAAUCUGCUGUUGAACAGUCCAAUUUGGGUGAAUCCACUGCUCAGACUUCUCAUGCUCAGCCAUCUCCUACUAUAUGUGCUGCCAACUUUGCUGGUACUAUGCUUACUAAAGAGGAGGCUGGUCUGUACAAAUUUGCUUGGGUGCCCCCUUUAUCUUCUUCUGCUGAUUGUUCUUCUUUCAAUUCUGUAUGCUCUAAUAAAGAUUCCUGUAAUCUUGAUUGUUCUUCUGAUCUAAAUCUUGUUGCUUUAUCUUCCAAUGUAAAUAGUUCUACUUGUCAUAAUAAAUUUGAUGAUAAUGACAUGAACUACAUUUGGCAUUUAAGACUGGCUCACAUCCCUUUUGCACACAUGAAACAUAUUUCUGCUUUAUCUUUCCCUUUUGCUUCUAAACAGCCCUUUCCAUGUUCUGUUUGUCCCAUGGCUAGGCAAACUAGA
RNAcentral lists this long non-coding RNA (1141 nucleotides) under Nicotiana benthamiana. Its description in RNAcentral is "long non-coding RNA (NBEN_LNC009967)". The record is from RNAcentral. Lineage: Eukaryota; Viridiplantae; Streptophyta; Magnoliopsida; Solanales; Solanaceae.